Delphinapterus leucas (beluga whale) is the source of this 1022-nucleotide non-coding RNA. The record is from RefSeq and is a predicted model, not a curated record. NCBI's taxonomy places the organism in Eukaryota, Metazoa, Chordata, Mammalia, Artiodactyla, Monodontidae.
AUAUGUGUUAUCAGACGUGUUAUUAUGACUCAUACCCUGCACAUUAGUGAUUUCAACAAACUAUAAAGUAAAAUGUUCAUUCCCACACACGUGACUGCUCUCCCACACUGCAUACCACUGAUAUUAUGUGACAGGCAACAGCAGCAUUUGAUAAAGAUAUUUCGCCAAAAGCUUGUUCCUCUUUCCCUUUGAGUAUGUUUGCCAUCAGCUUUGAGGCUGAUUUUACGAACUUCUUAGCAAAUCUGCCUUUGCUGUGACGGAUGGAAUUCUGAACCAUGCCUCUGAGGUUCUGUUCUAUUCUGGGCCCUCAGCAACAACAUUCAUCAAUUUCACCCUGGAAAACAUUAUUUUGUACUUGAUCUGGGAAGACACAACUGGUUCACUAGAAAGGCCACUUGUACUUUGCCUGAAAAUGACUCAGAAGUGUUGAGAGUUUCAUGCCACUCAUGACAAAGUUUCAUAACAGAGGAAGCACGGGAGACUCGGGACAAAUAAAUCACCUGCCAAGGAAAAUCCAAUUCACAGACAGUCAUGAUGGUACUUUCUGUUUACAAUUUUUCUUUUUCUGUCACUUGAGUGAAACUAUCAACCUGGCAGGUUCUCUGGUUUCUGGACAUCAAGAUUCACAUUCUAGAGGCGGAGUCAAGAUGGCUGACUAGGAGGACGCAGAAUUCGCGUCUCCCCACAACUAGGGCACCUACCAGGCACUGCUGGGGGACCACAGACACCGAAGGGGACGGGAAGAACCCCCAGCAACUGGCUUGUGGGAUUGUGGUUCCCAGGCCAGAAGUCGGGCCCAAGUUCCUGUGGUGUAAGCUCCGAGGCCAAACUGCUGGACUAACAGAGAACCUCAGACCCCAGGGAGUAUUAAUUGGAGUGAGGCCUCCCAGAGGUCCUCAUCUCAGCACAAAGACCCGUCUCUAUCCAACUGCCUGCAAACUCCGUGAUGGACGUCUGAGGUCAAACAAACAGUAAGACAGGAAUACAGCACCACCCAUCAAAAAAAAAAAAAAAAAAAAAAA